GUUGUGAUGUCACAAUGUCACAGUCAAAGUGCCCAAGCAGCGGCCAAACUGGCUCAUUCUUGAUCAGGUGACUGAGGUAGGUGGAGCUCUAGGGGUGUUGGUGCCAACGUUAGCAGGAAUAAGAGAUAAUAAUAACGAAUCAGUUUAAUACUGGCGCUGUGGGGGCUUUGGUGUAUUGUUUUUUCGAAAUGGCACAAAAAUUCGGAAACAAUUUGUCAAAAAAAAUUGACGGACAUGAAAAGAAAUGUUGCGCGUCGUGUUUCUGACCCACACAGCAAUUUUUUUGACAGUUUCACUCAUUUUUCACUCACUAAUUACUGUAACUAAAGGGAUAUUUCUGUUUGUCUCCAUAGAGAGAAAGUGAGAGAAAAUGUUUCGGCGUUUACUUUCGUUUUUGCCUUGCGUGCCGAGGAAAAAACGGAAUAAACCCCCGAGAGAAUUUCUUGCGAUUGAAAAAGAUGAAGCCGAUGUGGUCGUCGUGGUAAGCAGGGAGGAACUGGUUAACACAAUAUAAUGAUCACACUUUGCUCACUAUUUGUGCUUUUCCAGCCAUUUCAUUUACUAUUAUUUUUGGCCAUUUUUGCUCGUUUAUUCUUGUAAUAAAACAUGAUUUUAUCCUUCCUAGAACCACCAAGACGAACCCGCCGGCGACAUCAUUGUG
Molecule: long non-coding RNA, 661 nt
Organism: Xenopus tropicalis (tropical clawed frog)
Lineage: Eukaryota; Metazoa; Chordata; Amphibia; Anura; Pipidae
Exons: 3
Source: RefSeq, a predicted model, not a curated record